This 743-nucleotide unclassified non-coding RNA is filed under the name Hevea brasiliensis (rubber tree). The record is from RNAcentral. Lineage: Eukaryota; Viridiplantae; Streptophyta; Magnoliopsida; Malpighiales; Euphorbiaceae.
UUGAAUUAUCAUUUCAAAAGGCAGCUAUAUGUUGCACUGCUAUGCACCGUGGCGCAGCAUUGGCAGCAAUGUCAUUUAUGUCAUGUUUCCUGGAGACUGGCUUAAAUGCUUUGGUUGAAUCCCUUGCUCAUUGUCCUGAGCUGGAAGGCAUAGUUGGUAUUUCUGAUAGUUCAAUUGAUGCUAUGGCAAUUCAAGUCAUAUCUCACAGCGGCGAUGGCCUAGUGUCAAACCUAAUGUAUGCUUUACUUGGUGUUUCUGCAAUGUCAAGGGUUCACAAGUCUGCAACACUUUUGCAGCAAUUGGCUGCUGUGUGCAGUUUAAGUGAAAGAACCACCUGGAAGGCUCAUCUUUGUUGGGAUUCCUUACAUGGAUGGCUCCAUUCUGCAGUACACAAUUUACCAGCUGAGUACCUAAAACAUGGUGAAGUAGAGUCUUUGGUCCCUCUCUGGAUUAAAGCACUUGCUGCUGCUGCUUCGGAUUGUAUUCAGAGCAGGCGAAACGUUGGAGGAACAAGUGAUUAUGGGCAUAUGCAAGGUAAAGGGGGGAGAAUUCUGAAGCGUUUAGUGAGAGAAUUUGCUGAUGGGCAUCGCAAUUCUCCAAAUUUUACUUGAAAUUUGAGCAAUUGCUGCCAUAGGUUCAAUAAUAUUGGAACUGCGGCAUCUUCAUUCUAUUUAAGUUGAGUUUUGUCCUGGAAUGCAGAAUCAUUCUUCUCAAGGAGUCUCAACUUCUUAGAGAAUUUGUGC